GACGAACGCUUGCGACGUGCCUAAGAAAUGCAAGUCGAGCGAGGCAGCAAUGCCUAGCGGCGAACGGUCGCGUAACACGUAAGCAACCUGCCCCAAAGACCGGGACAACGUUCCGAAAGGAGCGCUAAUACCGGAUGCGCCCAUCUGUUGACAUCGGCGGAUGAGUAAAUCGAGCAAUCGGCUUUGGGAGGGGCUUGCGGCCUAUCAGCUAGAUGGCGGGGUAACGGCUCACCAUGGCGACGACGGGUAGCUGGUCUGAGAGGAUGGUCAGCCGGAUUGGGACUGAGAUACGGCCCAGACUCCUACGGGGGGCGAGCAAUUAGGAAUCUUGCGCAAUGGGCGAAAGACCUGACGCAGCGACGUC
This 364-nucleotide ribosomal RNA is filed under the name uncultured bacterium. Its description in RNAcentral is "bacterial SSU rRNA". It matches the Rfam family "Bacterial small subunit ribosomal RNA", at positions 28 to 398 of the family's 1533-position model. The record is from RNAcentral.